CUCAUCACAUCCUGGGGCUGUAGUAGGUCCCAAGGGUUGGGCUGUUCGCCCAUUAAAGUGGUACGCGAGCUGGGUUCAGAACGUCGUGAGACAGUUCGGUCCCUAUCCGUCGCAGGCGUAGGAAAUUUGAGAAGACCUGUCCUUAGUACGAGAGGACCGGGAUGGACGUACCUCUGGUGUACCAGUUGUCCUGCCAAGGGCAUGGCUGGGUAGCUAUGUACGGAAUGGAUAAGCGCUGAAAGCAUCUAAGCGCGAAGCCAACUUCAAGAUAAGAUUUCCCACCGCAAGGGUAAGACCCCAGAAAGACUAUCUGGUUGAUAGGUCGAAGGUGUAAGUGCAGCAAUGUAUUUAGCUUAUCGAUACUAAUAGGUCGAGGACUUGACCAAU
Molecule: ribosomal RNA, 387 nt
Filed under: Clostridioides difficile
Lineage: Bacteria; Bacillati; Bacillota; Clostridia; Peptostreptococcales; Peptostreptococcaceae
Description: partial 23S ribosomal RNA
Rfam family: Bacterial large subunit ribosomal RNA
Source: RNAcentral